GCCGCUUUAGCUCAGUGGUAGCAGCGUUGCACUUGUACUGGCUUCUGCUUUCAAGCGAUGAGAUGCAAAGGUCCUCUGUUCGAACCAGGGAAGCGGCA
RNAcentral lists this transfer RNA (98 nucleotides) under Gomphillus americanus. It matches the Rfam family "tRNA". Rfam says of the family: Transfer RNA (tRNA) molecules are approximately 80 nucleotides in length. Their secondary structure includes four short double-helical elements and three loops (D, anti-codon, and T loops). Lineage: Eukaryota; Fungi; Ascomycota; Lecanoromycetes; Ostropales; Graphidaceae. The record is from Rfam by way of RNAcentral.